Molecule: ribosomal RNA, 504 nt
Filed under: uncultured bacterium
Lineage: Bacteria
Description: partial 16S ribosomal RNA
Rfam family: Bacterial small subunit ribosomal RNA
Source: RNAcentral
GACGAACGCUGGCGGCGUGCUUAACACAUGCAAGUCGAACGGUGAAGCGCUUGCCUUUUUGGUGGGUGUGGAUGAGUGGCGAACGGGUGAGUAACACGUGAGUAACCUGCCCUCUUCUUCUGGAUAACCUCAUGAAAGUGGGGCUAAUACGGGGUAUUCCGGGUCUGUCGCAUGGCGGGUUUGGGAAAGAUUGCGCCUUUGGGUGUUUUCGGUGGGGGAUGGGCUCGCGGCCGAUCAGCUUGUUGGUGGGGGGAUGGCCUACCAAGGCGGUGACGGGUAGCCGGCCUGAGAGGGUGGACGGCCACACUGGGACUGAGACACGGCCCAGACUCCUGCGGGAGGCAGCAGUGGGGAAUAUUGCGCAAUGGGCGCAAGCCUGAUGCAGCGACGCCGCGUGAGGGAUGGAGGCCUUCGGGUUGUGAACCUCUUUCGCCAGUGAAGCAGGCCUGCUCCUGUGUGGGUGGGUUGACGGUAGCUGGAUAAGAAGCGCCGGCUAACUACGUG